AUGAACGCUGGCGGCGUGCCUCAUCCCUGCAAGUCGCGCGAACAGACGAGGAGCUUGCUCCUCUGACGUUAGCGGCGGACGGGUGAGUAACACGUGGAUAACCUACCUAUAAGACUGGGAUAACUUCGGGAAACCGGAGCUAAUACCGGAUAAUAUAUUGAACCGCAUGGUUCAAUAGUGAAAGACGGUUUUGUUGUCACUUAUAGAUGGAUCCGCGCCGCAUUAGCUAGUUGGUAAGGUAACGGCUUACCAAGGCGACGAUGCGUAGCCGACCUGAGAGGGUGAUCGGCCACACUGGAACUGAGACACGGUCCAGACUCCUACGGGAGGCAGCAGUAGGGAAUCUUCCGCAAUGGGCGAAAGCCUGACGGAGCAACGCCGCGUGAGUGAUGAAGGUCUUCGGAUCGUAAAACUCUGUUAUUAGGGAAGAACAAAUGUGUAAGUAACUAUGCACGUCUUGACGGUACCUAAUCAGAAAGCCACGGCUAACUACGUG
RNAcentral lists this ribosomal RNA (496 nucleotides) under uncultured bacterium. RNAcentral describes it as "partial 16S ribosomal RNA". It matches the Rfam family "Bacterial small subunit ribosomal RNA", at positions 29 to 507 of the family's 1533-position model. The record is from RNAcentral.